This 1689-nucleotide long non-coding RNA is filed under the name Brassica rapa (field mustard). RNAcentral describes it as "long non-coding RNA (BRAP_LNC005430)". The record is from RNAcentral. Lineage: Eukaryota; Viridiplantae; Streptophyta; Magnoliopsida; Brassicales; Brassicaceae.
AAGAUAGCAUUAUUAUAUUAGGCGAAUUUUCUCUGCACAAUUACAGACUGCGACGAGGCUGUUAGACAACCUUGACAUUUAAAAGGCCAGUGGGGAGCAAACCGGAACAUUCGCAAGAACGAAGAUGAUCAAGAACAUUUUAAAAAUCGGCAAGUUGUCUUUACGAGGAUACUCCAACAUGUGUAAGUCAGAACUAAAACUAAUGACUGGUUGGAAAAUACGAAAAUGAAACAUAAUGUUACGGGUUAAGCUUUGAACCAAGAUGAAAAUGAUCCACUUUCGUUGGUGUAUUUUCCAAAACUCUUAGAUUAUCUAAUAGGUGUGUAAGAGGUCAUAUGUUCAAUUAACUCUGGUUGGAAGGUUUUUUUUUUCAAAAAGAAAAGUGAAUUUAAAAUUGUUUAAGCAACGCCUUAGGGAAAUAUAUAGAUCUACGGAUCUAGAAUUUCCUAGUCAUUCAAAAAAACAUUUACAUUUAGCUAUAAAUUUAGGAGUGAUUCAAAUGUAAGAAGCUGUGAACAAAAGUAGAAAGAGUAUUUGAAACCUUUGAGAUGUUUAGAGUGAAGAAAUUGAUCAGAAUACCUUUUUUUAAAUCAGAAUACUAUUUAAAUAUAGUGUGUAGAUGCAAGCAAGAGCUUGUAAAUGUUAAUAGUGUGCUUUGAAGUAUCCGGUGACGUAAUCACUGAUGCAGAAGACGUGUAAAAUGGUGAAGACCAUGUGGAAUCAAGAUACUGAGUUAGAGUCGUAAAGAUUUGGAGAGUAGGCGUGUAUCUUGGAGAAAAAACAAGAGGAAUAAACUUGAAAAUCAAAUUUAUGUCUUAAAAAAAAGCAUAAAUGCACUUGCAAGAAAAGCAAAGCUACACUUAUUGCUAUGAAAGAUGUUUAUAAUGAUAGGUUCUUUGGACAAAGGGUUUUGGGAACGUAAAGAUAACUAUAAAAUAGCUAUGGGUUGUAUGUAUUUGACAGAGACACAUAGGCUGAUUUUAUAGAGAGAGAUAAAAUAUCUUAAAAGUUUUUUUGACCGUGUUGAAGCAGACGCUAAAAUAUGUGUCGUAAGAGAGACAAGAUCGGGUAGAUUAUAAACUUUUCAGUAGCGUAUGUUAUGAUGUUAACACAUGUAAAAACUCAUUAAAUAGAUUUUGUAAUAAAUUAUUUAAAGUGAUUUCUAAUAAAGCAUAGGUGUUUGCUUGUAUUGUUUACAUAACUUAAUUUUGGUUGCAUCCUGCACUUGUGUGUAUAUAUCAGAUAUAUUUGUAUAUAUCUUUUCCCUGGGUGUAACAUAAAAGUCUUCGGAUCGGAGAAAUUAUUUGACGUGUGGGUUCCUGUGAUAGGUCUCCAGAUCCUUGAAUCGAAUUGGCCGUUGUAGACUAUGGUUGAUGACAUUUGUUGUUGACAUGUCCGAGUCUCCGAGACUUGUCUGCAGGUGAACGUAUGUGGAUGCACAAAAUACGUAUAUUUGAGUAGGCUGGGCGCAUUUGGUGAUGGUGGCAUGGCCAUAUAAUCGCAUUAAUUAUAGGAGAGUUACUGAUCAAAGGUUAGCUUUACCGGCCGGAGAUGCGUUAGAUAUAAUUGUAGAGGAGAUUAUACCACCACGAUAAUUAUGGAAUAACCGUUCCACACAUAAAAAUGUUGUAUGUUUCCUGGUAUUUUAUUUUAUUCAUAUUUGCCAUUCCUUAUAUAUUUAAUGUUAGC